RNAcentral lists this ribosomal RNA (253 nucleotides) under uncultured bacterium. RNAcentral describes it as "partial 16S ribosomal RNA". It matches the Rfam family "Bacterial small subunit ribosomal RNA", at positions 524 to 776 of the family's 1533-position model. The record is from RNAcentral.
UACGAAGGGAGCAAGCGUUGCUCGGAAUUACUGGGCGUAAAGCGUGCGUAGGCGGUUCGUUAAGUCUGACGUGAAAUCCCCGGGCUCAACCUGGGACGUGCGUUGGAAACUGGCGAUCUAGAGUACGGUAGAGGGUGGUGGAAUUCCCGGUGUAGCAGUGAAAUGCGUAGAGAUCGGGAGGAACUCUCGUGGCGAAGGCGGCCACCUGGACCAGUACUGACGCUGAGGCUCGAAAGCGUGGGGAGCAAACAGG